Molecule: long non-coding RNA, 419 nt
Organism: Zingiber officinale
Lineage: Eukaryota; Viridiplantae; Streptophyta; Magnoliopsida; Zingiberales; Zingiberaceae
Exons: 5
Source: RefSeq, a predicted model, not a curated record
AUGCUCUCAAAGACGCUGGACAUUAUAGGUCAUGCUUUGCUUUACAACCUAACCAUCCACAAGCAUUGUCAAGCCUUGGCAGCAUAUACAUAGAUUGCAACAUGAUGAGUGUUCCUGCAUCAUUCUAUAAGGCAACUUUAGCAGUUACAACAGGGAUAUCUGCGCCCUUAAACAACUUGGCUAUUAUAUACAAGCAACAGUUCUUCGCAGACUGCUGCUGAUGGUCUUGUCAAUAGAGGGAACACAUUUAAGGAGAUUGGUAGAGUUACUGAAGCAAUUCAGGAUUAUAUACGUGCUGUGAAUAUCAGACCAACUAUGCCUGAAGCCCAUGCAAAUUUGGCUUCAGCUUACAAAGAUAGUUUACAAAUCUCAAGUACUCCAGAGUUGAAAUUGAUGAAGUGCGGUUCGAGUGGGCUGAA